GUGAAAACGGAAACAAGAAGUAUGCCGGCUCACUGUGCUGCAUACAGUUACACACUGCGUCGUACGAUUGAGACAAGGAAACUUGGAAUGACUUUUCAUAGGUUUCCCAGAGACUAUGGGUUGAGGAGGAAUUGGAAGUUUGUCGGCUUAGACCUGGUGUCAUUCCAUCAGUGUUAAACUUCCCGGCUCAUCUUGGAAGAGUACGUGCCAGAAAGACCACGACCAAGCAGCCUUGAGAUCUCAGACAGCGUCUCUCUGAGGUCCCUCUCUGUCUCCCCACACAUCCACCAACCACUGGAACACAUCUCCAAAGUUCUGCUGGGCCAGCUCAGCUUCCCCUCAGAAGAAGUGCUGCCACCUUCCAGAUGAAGGAGCCUUUUGAGAGGCAGCUGGCAUCGUGAUUGGACUGUACUUUGGUCUGUUCCAAUCCAGCUUCAGCUCCAGAGACGGCAGGCGGGACGAGUCAACGGAGGCCUGGUGGACGAAGACAUGCAGCUGAGUACAAUCCAGAAAACAACAGAGGAGGAGUGCAGCAGCCCAGAGCCAGAACAACCAGAGUAGCAUCGUAUGUCUCUUAGAAAACAUCAUAGUAUAGCC
Molecule: long non-coding RNA, 597 nt
Organism: Amphiprion ocellaris (clown anemonefish)
Lineage: Eukaryota; Metazoa; Chordata; Actinopteri; Pomacentridae
Source: Ensembl